UACGUAGGGUGCGAGCGUUAAUCGGAAUUACUGGGCGUAAAGCGUGCGCAGGCGGUUAUAUAAGACAGAUGUGAAAUCCCCCGGGCUCAACCUGGGAACUGCAUUAGUGACUGUAUAGCUGGAGUGCGGCAGAGGGGGAUGGAAUUCCGCGUGUAGCAGUGAAAUGCGUAGAUAUGCGGAGGAACACCGAUGGCGAAGGCAAUCCCCUCGGGCCGUGCACUGACGCUCAUGCACGAAAGCGUGGGGAGGCAAACAGGAUUAGAUACCCCCGUAGU
Molecule: ribosomal RNA, 275 nt
Filed under: uncultured bacterium
Lineage: Bacteria
Description: partial 16S ribosomal RNA
Rfam family: Bacterial small subunit ribosomal RNA
Source: RNAcentral